GUAAAGCAAUAGGUUGCUUGCUAUAUGUUUCUAUUCUAUAUGGGUGAGGUCAUUGUUGAGAACAUGGGAUUUAGAACAGAGUUUGCCCAAUGGUUAUCAUGUAAUACUGGGCUAAGAAAUUCACGGUAGCAGUGUGUCAAAUGCUAUAGAUUUGCUAUAUAAAUUAUUAGGGUCUGUGGCAAUAUUAAUGCAAUGCACUUUUCCAUUUAUUUAUUAUGUGAAAAGUUAGGCAAAUGUAGGCAUUUACACCCACAGAAAUUAAGUACAUUUUGAGGGGUGCAAUUUUAACCUUCUUUUUGUUUUGUAUUUUUUUGUAGCAGCUAUUUACGCUUCGUAAGCUUUAACCCCCAACUAAACCAGAAAAAUGAAAUUUGCUUUGGCAAUCUUGAUGCUCGUGCUUUGCGCUCACACCACCUCUGCUUGGUAUGUGACAUGCUCCACCUUCGACAGCUACAAGGGUAGUAUCAAUAGCAGAUUCAGCUCUGUUGAAAGUCGUGCCAGAUCUGCAUACAGCAUCGGUCUUUGCGCCAAGAACAAGGCUUACUACGUUGCCAACGAUGUCUCUUCCGUUCAAUCUUCAGUCAGCAGUUUGAGCAGCAGAGUGGGAUCCGUCGAGAGCGACGUCAAGGCAGUAAAGGAGACCGUGAACAGCUUGAACAAAUGUGCCAAGGCAGAGGAUAUGUUCCUUUGCAUGUUCGGCAUUGAUUAUUAAACCCUCCCUUCAUCCUUCAAGUCAUGGAUGGGAAACCAAGACCCUGUAUCAGUGUUUUAAAUACCCAUUACCAUGACAUCAUAUAAUAAAAUAAAAAAGCAUCAAAUA
This is a non-coding RNA of Ciona intestinalis (vase tunicate), 820 nucleotides long. NCBI's taxonomy places the organism in Eukaryota, Metazoa, Chordata, Ascidiacea, Phlebobranchia, Cionidae. The record is from RefSeq and is a predicted model, not a curated record.